RNAcentral lists this long non-coding RNA (10859 nucleotides) under Brassica napus (rape). Its description in RNAcentral is "long non-coding RNA (BNAP_LNC022096)". The record is from RNAcentral. Lineage: Eukaryota; Viridiplantae; Streptophyta; Magnoliopsida; Brassicales; Brassicaceae.
AAGGUCAAGGUCAUCAUCAUCAACAACCUUCCAACUACAUGAUGCCUUUUGCGACCAACCAACCCUCUCCAAAUGGAUGUUACUAUCCUCCUCAGCCUCCUCCUUCGGGAGGAAACCAGCAAUGGUUGAUCCCUGUAAUGUCUCCUUCCGAAGGGCUGAUAUACAAGCCGCACCCAGGUCCAGAUCCGGGGCACACGAUUCCUGUUUAAAAUAUACUUUCCACAAUAAUAUCGAAAGAUCUUCCAUUCUAUUAUUAAAAUUUCGGUGGCAGAAACAAGACAAACUGAUGAAGUGGAACUGAGGAUGUCCUAUCGGGUAAAACCAAAUAGAAAUAGAGAAAGUGAUUUGGAUUUGAUAGAAUCAAAUAUACUAAAUGAAAUUUUUUUUUUCUUUCUAAAAACUCGGUAUAUGGAUAUGAUUUGGUAUAUAAACCGAUCAAACUGAAUAAAUCAAUUAAUGUAAAUAUAGUAGUAUAAUUAUAUGUAAAUUCUAUAAUUUAAUUAAUUAUAUAUACAUAAUUUAUUUAUUGAUAUGAUCUUCAUAGUUAAAAUAUUGAUUUUAGUAAUACAAUAUUUUGUUUUAAGUUAAAAGUUAUUUUUCAUAUUUAUCAAAUUAAAAGAAAAUUUUACUUUUGUCAUUGACAGAUAUGUGUACUAAUAUUUAGUUAUUUAUUUUUUUAUAGAUUACUAAUUUUUUUAUUCUAUAAAAACUAUUAUUAUUGUUAUCAACUUAACAUGUUUACUAAUUAUUUUAAAUAGUAAAAAAAUAGUCUAUUUAAAACAAAAUACCUUCAUGUUUUAUUAACGCCGAUUUCUAAUUAUAUAAAGUAAAAUUUACAAAAUAUUGUAAAAGAUAAAUAUAUUUAUGGGUUUUUGGUAUAAAACCGAAUAAACUGAAAAACAACGGUACAAAAACCAAACGAAACAAAAGUAUAUAUAGUUUUAAUAUGGUAGCUAUUUUUUAUAAAUCGAAAUGCUGAAAAAUAAAAAGGAACCAAAAUCAAACCGAAAUAAAUAUUAAAGACCUCUAAUUGGAAGCAACAAUAAACACCUUAACGAAGGGAUUAUAUAAUGUUCACUUAGAACCUGCAAACUCAAUAGGAAGAUUCUAAAAAACCUCGCUUGAGACGUUUUUUUUAUUGAUAAAUCUAAUCAAAUAAAUACAAGUUAUAGAAAGAAAAAAAGAUUCUCUCAAAAAAUAAAAUUCUUUAUUAAUUAUAUCAAAACUAAAUACAAGCUUAGGCUUGAAUAUUUAUUUAUAAUAAAUUCUUUAUAUGAAAAAUCAUAAUCUUAAUUAAAAUAGAAAACAUUAAAUAUGAAAAAUACAAUUAAUAGUUAAUUGUUUAGAUAUACAAAUAUCUAUUAAUAAUAGCAAUCCCAAUGUAUCUCGUGUCAUUUUAUUUGUUGCAUUUGUUGAAAAGAAACGGUUAAAAUGUCAAAAGAUAUGUAUUUAUAUAUUUAUGUGUUUGGUUUAAAAAUAUUUUUGAAAAAGUGUAACAAUGUAUCUGUAGAUCCUAAAAUCUACACUAAGAAUUUGAUAGUAAUCGGGAGUUCAAUCUAGGGAAGAAAUAACGUGGGCAACGAUAUCCUUAGAACGCAACAAUGUAAUCAGGUAUGAGUCGACAAGAAUGGACUAUAUUCGCAGGUCGAAUAUCCUAGAGAUAUCAGGAUUAAGAAGGAUCGUGACUGAACUCGGGAUCGAGCUGCCUACGUACCCGUCAAGGAUAAGUCUAAACGUAGUUCGAUUAUAAUCAUCUAGAAAGAGAUGUCGGUUUCUUCGGUCAUGGGCGAGACCUCGACUUCGUCGGUCUCGAGCUCGAUGUUUGCUUCGAGAUCUCUUGUCUUGAAUAACUAGUAGUUAGUGUACGAUUGAUUAGUUCUCGAACUGCAUAUGAUCUCUUUAGAUCGAUCUUGUCGUAUGAAGAUAAGGUCGAUCAUUAACAUGAUACAAGGGUCGCUAUCGUCAUGGAUUCUUGUUUUCACUAUUACAAAGAUGUGUUUACGUCGUGAGAUGAUUAUUGGGAAUCUCAUCUCUCUCGUUCUUCUUAAACCAUAAAGAAAUGGAUGACUUGUUUAAUCAUUAGACAGAUAUGAUGAUUCCAUCAUGUGUUGGUGGAGGAAGAUGGCGAUCUUGCCGAGACCGAAGUCUCUCCACCUCUUCGUCAGUCUUUAUUCUUUUGUUUUCAUCCUUUUUGUCUUUGUUUCGUUCGUCGAGAAUGUGUCCUCUUCGUUAGAUCCAAGGCCUCUUUUAUAUGACAGCAAGGUUGUUGCAAGAAGCUAGUAAUAUGGUUAGUAAUUUGUUGCACAUGUUCCACCUUUCUAGCUACGACUUCUUCUUUAUUGAUCGCUCUCCGAUAUAUAAGAAGAAUAAUUCUCUUGUUCUUUGACUCAUUCAUACUUAAAGAAUCUCGGCCUCUAUGGACCGACUUUGGGUUACGAGUUCUCAUGGGCCUGUCUAAGCUCAACUCGAGGUCGUCGUUAACCGCUUUUUUAUCUUUUUGGCAGGAAGGAUUUAGCGCUAAAUUCUGGUCCAAUAGUAUCUUGUGUCAUUUUAUUUUAAAAAUUGCAUUAGUUGGAAAAAAUUAAAAUGUGAAAGGAUGUAUCUUUAUAUAUUAUUGUGUUUUUUUCCUCAUAUAAUGAAUAUAAAAAGUUUUCUAAAAUGUGUAAGGAUGCAAAUUUUUUGGAAAUCCAAAAUAAAUAUUUAAAGAUUUAUCUUUUGAUCUUAAAUGUUGCAUUAGUUUAAAAGAAGUUACUAAAAUAUCUAUGGAUGUGUCUUUCUAUAUGGAGGUGUCCUUUGAUCAUGCAAUGAUUUUUUUUGAGAUUAUGAAAAUGUGUAAGAAUGUAAUUUACUUGUUGUAAUAAAUAUUUUAUUUAAUGCAACAUUAAUUUAUUUAAUUUUAAAUAAUUAAUUUUUUUAAUGAUGUUUGCACCAACAUAAUUUAUUGUAUAAAAUACUUGAAGUAUAUAAUUGUGUUAGUUAGAUUGUAAAAUGCUUUAAUAAAACACUAUUCAAUCAUGAUAAGUGUAAGUCAAAGUAUGCCAAUGUAAUUUAAAGUUAGAUUGACUUAAGUAAUUAAAGUUUUACUUAUCAAAUUUUUAAAAAAGUUUAGAUCAUUUAACUUAGAAUCAUUAUAUUAUUAUUUUAUUAAUAAAUAACUGUUUUAACUGAAUUGUGAAAAGAUUCAUCCGUUAGUUUUCAGUUUUCGAAUUUUAUAUUUAUUUUUAUUAUUUUCAUCAUAAAAAUGUGCAUUUAAUAGUUACGAACAUUGAUAUGAAAACUUGUAUCAAUUACUUGUCUUUUCAAUAUGUAUAUAUAUAUAGUGUAUUGUAGAACAUUUGCCUAAAACUCCAUUAUUUUUCUAUUUCUUAAACUAAUACAUCUUGUAUUUUCCAUUUAUCAAAUGAGUAAACAUUUGGUAAAUGUAAAACAAAAUUUUAAUAAUUCACAUUUAAUUUUUAGAAAUUCCCUAGAUAGCUCUUUUUAGGUUUUUGUCACAAAAAUAAUUUUUAAUGAAGAAAAUGACCAAAAUAAAUUUUAUUAAAGUAUAAAAAAAUAUUUUUUUCCCUAGGAUUAACUAAUCUAAACUUAGGGUUUAGAGUUAAGAUAUGGAGUUUUGGGGAUAUUGUUUCAAAUCUAAAAAAUAAAAAAUAAAGAUUAAAAUUUUCAAAAUAAAAAAGAUUUGGUCAUUUUCUUUCUUGAAUGUUAUUUUGUGACAAAAACUUUAAAAAUGUUAUAUGAGAGAAUUGCCCUUUGAAUUUCAAUAGAAUAGAUUUACGAAGAGUGUCUAAUACAUUUUUGCAUCAUCAAAAAUCCAUUAUUCCAUUAUUCUUCAACAAAGAAGGUUAUUUUGCAUGUCAUAUAAUAUUUAAUAUUUACUAUAUAUUUAAUUAACCUUGUGAAAAAUACGGAUUAACUGUCGGCUUGAUAAUUGUUUUUUUUUUUCUGGUCGCCCGACAAUUGGUUCAAUCAGACAAGUCGAUGAAACCAAAGCCGGUUAGAGUUUUAAUCGGGGGCUGGUUUGAAGCGAUAGGAGGAAGGGAACAGUGUGAAACUCAAACCAUUUUGGUACUCUCUCUCUCUCUCUCUCUCUCGGUGAUAAAGGGUUUUGCAAUCUAGACAUGUCUUGGGCAGAGAAGAAGCGAUCGCCGCCGCCGUCUCCGAUUACUUCACUUCCGGAGGACGUCGUGGUUGACAUCUUGGCGCGUGUGCCGAUAUGUGACUAUCCGAGAGUGUCCCUCGUUUCGAAGCGCUUCCCUUCGCUCGUUUCGUCGCAUGAGAUAUACGCGAGACGAUCUUCGCUGGGCUGCACUGAGCAUUGUCUCUAUGUUGUCCUUCGCAACAGGGACGACCGUGUGAACCGUUUGUUUACGCUCCGCCGCCGGAAAGACAAUGGCAAUAGCAACCGCCGCUUGGUCCUUAUCCCUGGGAGUCCGGAUAUGCCUCCCGAAGGAAGCUUUGUAGCGGUGGGUUCGAGGUUAUAUGUGUUUGAUGGGAUGACAUCGAGAGCCUUCUUCAUCGACUGUACAUCUCACACUGUGCAACAUCUCCCGAAGAUGCCUGCCCCCAUGUCUGAUACAGCCGCUGACGUCAUCGGCGGGAGAAUCUAUGUGUUCGAUACAGAAACACAAACGUGGGUGACAAAGCCAGAGAGAUGUGAAAUGUAUUUGUCUGGUGGUCUGGCUGUGAUGGCUGGUAAGAUGUACGCGAGGGGUUUUGAAGAUAGCUUUGUUUACGACCCAAAGGAAAGCAAAUGGGAAACGGACGAGGUGCUGGAUUCCAAGGACUGGGAGAACGCGUGUGUUGUUGAUGAUGUUUUGUACUUCUACGAUUAUAUUGACGACGAAUUGAGAGCGUAUGAUCCAGAGCACAAGUGUUGGGGAGUGGUGAAAGGUUUGGAUGAUUUCUUGGCUGAGAUGAGACGUGUUGGUUGUCAUUUGGCGAGGACUGUGAGUUACGCUGGCAAACUGGUUUUGUUUUUUCAUAGACAAGAAAUCAUUUGUUGUGCGGAGAUUUCGCUGGAAAGGGGGUCAGAUUUGCGGUAAAGACGUUGAUCAGUGGUGUGAUCAUGCCUUGAUCGCUGGUUAUUUUAUCAUUACGAAAUCUCUAGAUGUUGUGCUCUAAUUCAACAAUGCUCUCUCCGCCUUUGUUUGAGAGUUGAGAGUCUCUCACUUGUAUGCUCCUUACCAGAGUAUGUAACUGAAUGGAAACAUGCCUUCCCGCUAUUUUAUGUCCCAAGCUGCUAUAUAUACAGCUCGAAACAGAGUUCCACUCUGUUGCAAUUUAAGCAAACAAUUUUAGCCAAGAAAAGCUCAUCAAAGAACUAGUGACUACUUGUCGCUUUGCUUAUUACCCUGCUGGAGCUUUAGCUGACUAUUGCUCUCAUCAAUUAAUAAUAGGAAUCCUAACUUUUUUUUUUUUUGGAGCAAAAUAGGAAUCCUAAUUAAUGUUGACAGAUCUUGUCUUUUCAGUCUAAACAUUGCAUUUGUUUUUAAGAGAUUAUUAAAAUUUAUAAAAGGUCUCUUUCCUAAAAAUGUGUCAUGUUAAAAAUUACACUAAGUUUCGGUUUUGUUCAAUCGGGUCUCGUUCGGAUUUAUUAAAAUCAGUUUCAUUCGGAUUAUAUAAAAGUUUGGUUCUAGACCGGUUCAAGUUCUAUCGGGUUUGGGUCGAGAUUAGUAAAUCUUCAAAGAACCGGUACAAUCCGAUGUACUUCCGGGUUUGGGUCCCAAUCGGUUCUUCGGUUUAAAAGUUCAUGAUAUGAACCUACCUUGUAGCCAAAAAAUAAAUAAAAUUAGUUUUUCGGUUUUAAAGUACCUGAUUUGUACGUAUUUUGUAACCAAAACAUAAGGAAAAUUGAUUCAAAAAUUUUCAAAAAGAAAAUCAAACGUGAUAAUUCAAAAUCAAAUGAAAGGUACACAUAGCUAUUGAUAGAAAAAAAAUGAAAGCAUAAAAUGAAAACCAAGUUGCCUUGUGAAAUGAAAAACAUUAUUCAAUGAAAAUAAAACCAAAAUCUAAAAACUUCAAGUUUUAACUACCACCUUCUACCAUCAACCUUCAUGUAAUAGAUAAUUAUUUUAGAUGUUCAAUAACAUCUUAGUGUAUUUUGGAUAUAUAUUAGGAAUUGAGAUAAUGUUUGGUAUAAGUUUUUUUGGGUUUUAAAUGUUUCGGGUUCUAUCGGAUAUCUAUUUAAGUUUGAAUUCAGUUUCAGAUAAUAUCCAUAAUCCAAAAUAUCAUAAAAUAAGAUCCAUUUGAUAUUCAUUUUUAUUGGAUCGGGUUCGGCUUGGAUUUUUGGAUUCGAUUUAUUUUCCCAGACCUUAAAAAAUUAUAAUGCGUUAGAUACUCAAAGUUUACCAUGGAUAAAAUCAACGAUUUUGAUUUAAAAAGAAAACAAAUUAUUUGCCAACAAAGAUAAACUAUAAGUUGAUAAAAAGAAGAUAAACUACAUAAAAUGAUUUAAUCAGCUAAAUUAAUAGCAUGAUUAAUAUAAAAUACUGCUAAAAUGUAGAAAUCGUAUACUACCUGUUAAUUUGUCCAUUUUCUAUCUUUUGCCUAUGAAAUGUUUGAUAACAAUUAUAAAAGUUAACCUUAAAUUUCUAUUUGUAAAUGCUUAGGCUCUAAGCUUGUAUCAUUAGACUUGUGUUUUACUAUGGGUUUUGAGAGAUAAAGCUGUAGACUAAAGUCUAUUAAGCAUAAUGGCCCAUGUCCGUGUUUAUUGAAAUAACAACAAUAUUUUUUUUUAAAGUUCACUGCAACAAGCUAACGUAUAAAGAUUUUGUGGCGGUAGCUGGUGAUUAUGGAUGGGUUUUUUUGACAAAAAAACUAUGGACAAGAUUAUUGAAAGCACAACCCAUAUAUAUUUCAAUAACCAUCAUAUCUCGAACAUAAAACUAGAUUUGCUUACGAUGAUAAAAAAUUAGGGAUAAGAUUAAAAAGUUUCAAACGGACGACGAUAACGUACGGACAAAAGCAACAAAAAAGAAAAGAUGUAAUGUCCUAAUGUUAAUGGUGGGAUGAGCUUUAAAGAUUUCUUAAACUUUCUAGGUUCUUUUAUUUAUUAAUACAAAACCGGGUUGUCACGCACUUUCCUUGGUGAAAUGAAAUUUUUAUUAAAUUUUUUUAUUAAAAUGGUUAUCGGGAAGGAUCUUCUUCUCCUUGUAUCUAAUCGGGACCCACUCGUCUAUCUCUUUUUCCCCUUGCUUCUCCUAUCCUCUCACAACUCACAAGUCAUCUCUUCAAUUCCCACCUGAGAAACUAGCUCCCCCACGAAAGAGCUUCGGUCUUUUUGUAUCUGGGUCUGUCCUUAGUUUCUAGGCCUUGUUCUGAUUACUGUUGAGUCAGUGUUUGAUUUCAACUUUUAUCGGUGAGAUCUGAUCGUAGCCGGUGGUGGUUAAUAGUUGAUUAGUUGGCUGUUUUCUUGAGAUUAAUUAGGGUUUGGUGAUGAAGAGAGGGAAAGAAGAAGAGAAGAGAUUGGAACCGAUGUUCCCAAGGCUACAUGUGAAGGAUGCAGAGAAAGGAGGGCCAAGAGCUCCUCCAAGAAACAAGAUGGCUCUCUAUGAGCAACUUAGCAUCCCUUCUCAGAGGUUUACUAGUAGUGAUCGUGCUGGGUCUUUGCCCCGUAACACCUCCUCCCCUUUGCUUCCUCCUGGACCAUCAUCUAACCAGGUAUGUUUGCUGCUUUUUGGAGUGUUACAUCUUUAUAUGCAGCUUUUGCCUCUAUGUUAUUUUCUUGGACUCUCUUUAAAUGAUGGUAUUGCAAAAAUUCAUAUUUUCUAUUCUAGUGUGAAUGAUUCAUAUUGAUUCUUUGUCUACUGGCCAGGGAACUGAUAACUUUGUCUCCCAUAUGCCCUUCAUGGAAAAUGUGCGGGCUUCUUCAGCACAUCAUGAUCAUCAGAGGAAAAUAGCUAGAGAGGAAGAUGAUUUCGCUGUUCCAGUAUUUAUUAACUCUAGAAGUUCUGGCAGAGGCAAGAGUGGCUCAAAGCGAGGUGUUGGCUUGGCAGCUAACUCAGCUACAGAGGAAAUGGAUCUUGCAUCGACUAGUGACCGAGUAGAUGAUGGACGCAUUAAUAAUGGAGUUGAGUCUCACAUGGCGGCAUCGGAAGAAGAAGGUCAUGGUCAUGGUAAUGCUAAUGAUGAGUACUGUACAAGUGGAGGAGGAGGAUACACCUCUCUGCGACAAGAGAUAAAUAAUGAAGAGGAGGCGAGUGAUGAUAAUUCGAUGGUGGAUUCUGUUUCCAGCUUAGAUGUCUAUCCCGAUGACGUUGUGGGAGUGUUGGGUCAAAAACGUUUCUGGAGAGCAAGGAAAGCUAUUGCCAAGUAAGUUCUCACUACAUUUAUUUGAUUCCACCUAUUUGCUUGCUUGCUUGCCCCUGAAUCCUCCCCAAAAUGUGGUCCGAUUAUAUAUGGUAGUUAAAGACCCUUUCUGUAACAUAUUUAACGCAUUUGGAUCAUGUUAGCAGGGAGGGACAUUCGUACAUAGUGCAAGGUGCCUGCCGAGACAGUUUAUGGAUUUUAUACUGUGUCUUCUUAGCAUCUGCUUGUUGGAACAUGUGUCCCUGUCUCGGUUUGGUAUUGGUAUUGUUUUUUAUUCUUGGGCAUUUUCCCCUUCUUGUCACUCAAAGCAGGUAGGGGAACGUGCUUCUGAGGACCCUCGGGGGAUCUAAAUUUUAGUUAACCAUACAUAAAAGCUAGGUUAUGAGUCUCAUGAAAAUGCAGAAUCCUAGUUGCUUAAGAGGAUCCCCUUAGCGGGUGAUUGUGAACUACGGACGACUCCAUACUCUGAGAUCUAAAGUUCUAGAUAUCAGUAACUUGUCUUUUCUUUUUCUUGUUUUCUUAGUUAACAGUUUUAUGAUACCUUUAUGUGCAUCUUUGGACGCAUUGAUUUGGCAUUCUUGAUUAGAGCUGUGUAUUCAUACUUCUUUUCAUUUUCGAUUGUUUCAACUAUAUAUCAUCUUGUUGAUUUGACUGUGUUUCUCCUUACAGUCAACAAAGAGUAUUUGCUGUUCAACUGUUUGAGCUGCACAGGCUGAUUAAGGUAAAAAUCUCAAUCCAGAAUUUCUUUUCAUUAUGAAUGUUGUAAUCGUAAUAAAUCAGCUGUAAUAUUGGUUUUUUUUUUUGUCACUGAUCAGCUGUAAUAUUGUAAUCGUAAUAAAUCAGGUCCAAAGACUAAUAGCUGCAUCGCCGGAUGUUUUGGUCGAUGACAUGAGCUAUGUUGGAAAAGUUACUGCUAAAAGCUAUCCAGUGAAGGAGCUCCACCUUCCAUCAGGUUUUAUAGUAAAGCCUCCUCUACCACAGGUUAUCAAACACAGAAGCAGCAGCGACUCGGACAAGACUGACCAACAUAAAAUGGAAUGCUCAGCUGAGAACGUAGUUGGGAGGCUGCCAAACCAAGGUCAAGGUCAUCAUCAUCAACAACCUUCCAACUACAUGAUGCCUUUUGCGACCAACCAACCCUCUCCAAAUGGAUGUUACUAUCCUCCUCAGCCUCCUCCUUCGGGAGGAAACCAGCAAUGGUUGAUCCCUGUAAUGUCUCCUUCCGAAGGGCUGAUAUACAAGCCGCACCCAGGUCCAGAUCCGGGGCACACGGGGCCGGUCUGUGGAGGGUAUUAUGGUCAUUUCAUGCCUGCACCAAUGUUCAUGGGUGGUGGUGGUGGUCAGCCUCCUCCGUUUCACCCGGGCAUGGGAUUCCUAUCUCAUGGUAAUGGCUACUUUCCUCCAUAUGGUGGUAUCAUGAUGAACCCUUACUAUUCCGGACAACAACAACAACAACAACCCAAUGAGCAAAUGAACAACAACAUCCAACAACAGAGCUCAGUGAAUGAAGCGACUCAACAACAACAACAGCCAACGAAAUCUUAUCCUCGGGCUAAAAAGAGCAGGCAAGAGGGAAUCUCUGGUAAGAAGAAGUCCUUUCAACCAUUCUCAGCGGUUGAUGAUGUUCAUGAUGACAAGAUCAACAAUGCUGCACAACCUACUGAGGAAAUGAUGACGACAACCACAACCACAACAACAACUGUGAUAGUAAAGCCUCCUCUACCACAGGUUAUCAAACACAGAAGCAGCAGCGACUCGGACAAGACUGACCAACAUAAAAUGGAAUGCUCAGCUGAGAACGUAGUUGGGAGGCUGCCAAACCAAGGUCAAGGUCAUCAUCAUCAACAACCUUCCAACUACAUGAUGCCUUUUGCGACCAACCAACCCUCUCCAAAUGGAUGUUACUAUCCUCCUCAGCCUCCUCCUUCGGGAGGAAACCAGCAAUGGUUGAUCCCUGUAAUGUCUCCUUCCGAAGGGCUGAUAUACAAGCCGCACCCAGGUCCAGAUCCGGGGCACACGGGGCCGGUCUGUGGAGGGUAUUAUGGUCAUUUCAUGCCUGCACCAAUGUUCAUGGGUGGUGGUGGUGGUCAGCCUCCUCCGUUUCACCCGGGCAUGGGAUUCCUAUCUCAUGGUAAUGGCUACUUUCCUCCAUAUGGUGGUAUCAUGAUGAACCCUUACUAUUCCGGACAACAACAACAACAACAACCCAAUGAGCAAAUGAACAACAACAUCCAACAACAGAGCUCAGUGAAUGAAGCGACUUCACAACAACAACAGCCAACGAAAUCUUAUCCUCGGGCUAAAAAGAGCAGGCAAGAGGGAAUCUCUGGUAAGAAGAAGUCCUUUCAACCAUUCUCAGCGGUUGAUGAUGUUCAUGAUGACAAGAUCAACAAUGCUGCACAACCUACUGAGGAAAUGAUGACGACAACCACAACCACAACAACAACUGUGACUCAGACAACGAGAGAUGGAGCAGGAGUGACGAGAGUGAUCAAGGUGGUUCCGCACAAUGCCAAUCUGGCGAGUGAGAACGCUGCAAGAAUUUUCCGGUC